Molecule: ribosomal RNA, 820 nt
Filed under: uncultured Sphingobacteriia bacterium
Lineage: Bacteria; Pseudomonadati; Bacteroidota; Sphingobacteriia
Description: bacterial SSU rRNA
Rfam family: Bacterial small subunit ribosomal RNA
Source: RNAcentral
CAGGUCCCGUAGCAAUACGGGAUGCUGGCGACCGGCAAACGGGUGCGGAACACGUACGCAACCUUCCUUUAAGUGGAGAAUAGCCCGGGGAAACCCGGAUUAAUACUCCGUAAUAUUAUGAAGUGGCAUCACUUUAUAAUUAUAGCUCCGGCGCUUAAAGAUGGGCGUGCGUCUGAUUAGGUAGUUGGCGGGGUAACAGCCCACCAAGCCUACGAUCAGUAACUGGUGUGAGAGCACGACCAGUCACACGGGCACUGAGACACGGGCCCGACUCCUACGGGAGGCAGCAGUAAGGAAUAUUGGUCAAUGGACGCAAGUCUGAACCAGCCAUGCCGCGUGGAGGAUGAAGGUCCUCUGGAUUGUAAACUUCUUUUAUCUGGGAAGAAACCCACGGUUUCUACUGUGGUUGACGGUACCAGAUGAAUAAGCACCGGCUAACUCCGUGCCAGCAGCCGCGGUAAUACGGAGGGUGCAAGCGUUAUCCGGAUUCACUGGGUUUAAAGGGUGCGUAGGCGGACAGGUAAGUCAGUGGUGAAAUCUCCGGGCUUAACCCGGAAACUGCCGUUGAUACUAUUUGUCUUGAAUAUCGUGGAGAUGAGCGGAAUAUGUCAUGUAGCGGUGAAAUGCUUAGAUAUGACAUAGAACACCGAUUGCGAAGGCAGCUCGUUACACGGUUAUUGACGCUGAGGCACGAAAGCGUGGGGAUCAAACAGGAUUAGAUACCCUGGUAGUCCACGCCCUAAACGAUGAUAACUCGACAUCAGCGAUACACUGUUGGUGUCUGAGCGAAAGCAUUAAGUUAUCCACCUGGGAAGUACGA